Long non-coding RNA from Mesocricetus auratus (golden hamster), 5365 nucleotides. RefSeq lists it as uncharacterized. Lineage: Eukaryota; Metazoa; Chordata; Mammalia; Rodentia; Cricetidae. The transcript has 15 exons. The record is from RefSeq and is a predicted model, not a curated record.
UUCUGGGUUACAACAGCUAUGUUCUUAUUGGAUUUUUCUAAUCAUAGUCUUUUAGAAUAUUAUUAAUGACUUAAUAGAUUAGUCAAUGCACAAUAUAGAAAUAUAAAUGAAGGGAUGUUGGGCCUUCCCUGGACCAAUGAUGAGAACUGUCAGCGAAUAAGUUGCAGAUGAUGAAUGGCAUGUGUCUAGGACUCCGAGGUCUAUGACAAUGGAUAAACAGAUAAGCAGGGAUUGGAGAAGCGAAUGUAAUUUUUCAUCCUCUGCUCUGCUCUGCUCUUUGUUGCUUGUGUCCAUACUGUUCAUAAUGAACAGUAGUUUUAAUGUGUGUUUUUUUUGCUGUAUUUUAGGAAAGGAUAUUUUAUUUAAAUAAAUCAAAGGAAUCAAAUCAUAGUAUCCAUAAUAUCAGGUUAAUAGAAGCAUUUAGAUUAUUCCAUACAUUAAAAAAUGAGGACAGUAACAAAAAAAAUGUGGUUGACAGGUUCAUUGUGUAGACAAAUGUUAGGGACCUUAAUGCAUGCUGUCCUUGUAUUGUGUAGUUUAUAUAUUUUCCUUGGUUAAUUAAACUGCACAAGGGUAGAAGGAAUUAGAGAAUGGAUACCCAUCCAGCAUCUGAUACCACCUCAUUUGUCCCCAGGCCAUCAUUACUGGUUCAUGUUUGCAUUUUAUUAUUAUAAAUCUGCAAGGAAGAUCGAAUAGCAAAUAUUAAGGUGGUCAGAGAUGAAGAAAUGAAAAAUUUGUAUAUUAUUAACAUGUACAAUUAGGAUAUAGGUAUUACAUGUUUUUUUCUGUUGAAAUCUCCCUAUAUGGGUCAGGCUGGCCUCAAACCCCAAGGCCUGUUGUGUAUGCCAGUCAAGGGCUGUUAUUUCACUCAUCUGUCACCAUGACUGAUAGAGCAGACACUGAUCAAGUGUAUUACAGUUUUGGAAUAAAAAUGCUGUAGACAAGAAAUUGUCAAUCAAUGCAGUGUGUUAGUUAUAAAUUUGAAGUUCUUGAAGAAGAAAAUGAGUAGAUAUAUUUGCAGUAAAAAUGUUGAAGGCUAUGCUAAAGCAUGGUAGAAAUAUGAGUCAGUGAAGAGCACAUGUCCAAGUUCCCUCUGUCUCUGCUUUGUACUCCUCAGAUGGAGGCGCUGAGCUGGGAAGCACAUCCCUUCAUCGACAUCCCUGUGGUGUCGUGUGCUUGCACUGUGAGUAACAGCCAACCUUCUUAUUCUCCUUGGUUAAUGGGCUAAAGGUGUUAUGUUAAGUAUUGCUUUUUUUUAAAGGAGCAGACAAUGAAAUAACCAUGAUUACUGGUUUUAACAGUAAAUGGGGGCAGGGCAGAAGAGAAAUGCAGUAACUUGAUGAUGCCAUCUUUGUUUUCCCUCACUUUAUCUAAUACCAACCAGAAAUGGUUUUGAUCAAAGUGAUUCCUUAAGGUCUCUUUAUACAUGCUUACCUAGUGUAAUUCUCCAUUCGGGUUAACCAUAUCCACCCACUCAUAAUAAUUUGCUCAUUAUCCAAAAAUUCCACUAUCUUUUUUUCCUAUCCCUUUAAUUUAUUAAGAAACUAUUAUCUUGACUUUCUCCACAAUACAUAACACCCCAGAAUUUCUGAAGGUCAUGGAACUGUAACAGCAACUUUUCUGCAUUUUCUUCCCCCACUAAAUUGUCCUAUAACCAUCACUUCAGUCUCAUGUCCCAGUAGAUGAACUCUUCAUGUCCCACACUCUUCGUUUGUUUGUCUUUCUGUGCCUGACCUAUUUCCUUCAACCUGAUAUCUCCAGUUCCAUCUGUAUCCCUAAAAAUCAUAGCAUGCCAUUCUCCUUCAUGGCCAAAAGUACCUAUGACAUUUCUUAUAUCUAGGAUAAAUAAGGAGUCCAAAACCCAAUAGCUAAAACCACAAACAGUAAAUCAUGAUCAAUAGACAUAAGAGGCACACAAAUUUCCCAGAAGUCUAUGAAAGUAUGUUCCUUGUGAUCAAUCACCAGAGAAAUGCAUAUCAAAACCACAGCAAGAUGCCCCAUGACUCCAGUAAGGAAAACUAUUAUCAAGAAAGUCUAGUGAUAACAAUAACAAUAACUAGCCAACAGGUCAAUAGAGUGCUUCCUUUGUGCACUCUCAAUGGGAAUAUGAAUUUAUAGAACAUCAUAGAAAACAGCUUGGCAAUUCCUCAAAAACAAAACAAAACAAAAACAAACAAACAAAAAACCCAUAGAAUUGCCAGAUAAUCUAACCAACUAGUAGGUCUGGAUGGAAAGAAAAUGAUGCAUUUGUGUCAAAGAGAUGCCUGCCCUUCCUUUUUCCCUGCAGCUAGCUAUAGGUGCCAAGAUGGGAUAGAUUUGAGUAACCAUUAGCUGAUGAGUGGAUAAAGAAAUAUGAUAGAUACAGGGAUGGGGGAUGGGUUAUCUGAAUAAAAAUUAACUAGUCACUUGUUGUGUUUCCUAAUUGAUCACUGCUACACUGAGGCCAGUUGAUGAAAGAUAAGUCUCAAGUGAAUAGGACUCUACAGACAGAUGUUAGCCUGUCAAGCACUAUGUUCAUUUGUGUGAAUCAGGAUACUUUAUUGAUUUGUUUUAAUUAAUAACCUCAAAUAAAGUAAAUUCAAAUAAAAAAUAACAGGCCAAAACAUGAACCAAUGAUGAUAACAAGUGCUGAGAGUGGGCCUUACAUAUUGCAUGAAAUGUAUCUGGACUCUAAUAGAAAACUAAAAUGCGGAAUAAUCCAUUUUCUCUGUAGAAGACAUCCCCUAGACCAUCCUGUGGGUCAUGAAUCCUUUGGGGAUUGAAUGACUCUAUCACAUUGCUCACAUAUCUGACAUGCCUGGAAAUGCCUUAGCACAAUGGUUUUCAACCUGUGGGUCACAACCCCCUUUGGAGGCACAUAUCAAAUAUCCUGCAUAUCAGAUAUUUGCAAUAGGAUUCAUAACAGUAACUAAGUUACAGUUCUGAAGUAUGAAAAUUGUUGUACAAUUAGGGUCAGCACAACAUCAGGAACUGAACUAAAGGGUUGCAGCAUUAUGAAGGUUGACAACCACUGCUCUAAACAUGCAGGAAUAUCUAAGGACCAUGAGGCUGGCACCUAUGUGGAUAUAUGUCGAUUCUGACAUUGAAUUAAGCAGUAGAACUAUAAUUACUGAUGUACUAAUUAAAUACAAACAUGAAGUGCAUCAGGAGUACUUUGAUAUGUUGUUGUCAAAGCAGUAAAUUACAGUGGGCAAUAAGUAUAACUAUUAGGCAUCCAUCCUUAGCUACCAUAGACAUUAGAUGUUCAAGCAUUAUUUAUCAUCUUUAUGUGGGGUUAGUUUAAAUUUGUUUCUAAAUUAAAUUAUUUAUAUAUAUUUUGUUAAGGUAAAAGCAUGCAUCAUUAAAUUAAUGAGUGAAUAAAUCAAUUCAGAAAGCAAUGCUAACAAUCAAACCUCUGUGAAAAGAAUGUCACAGCUUUCCAUUUUCUUUCUGUUUAUAUGCUCUGCUCUAUGCUCUUCCCAAUGGAAUCGUCUGAGCUGCGGUUGGAAUUCUCCAUGGUUGGUGCUCAGUAGUUUUAUUUCUCACUGGAUUCUGGAAAUCAGACAUGACUGAAGUUUCUGUGGAAGUUUGCUGAGGUGGAGAAUACCCGGGAUGCCAUGAUGUCCGUUCACAGCCCAUGUUUGCUGACAGCUCCAGCGUUGACCUCCAAUCAGCACCUGAAGACAGGGAGCCCUCCCAACUAAUGGUGCCUGCCAGCAUGCUGAGAUCAAGACCACACCAACACAUUUGUGUGCUGUGAGAGCCAGAGUCCUGAAGACUGAGAGGCCGCCUGCCUUCCCCCCUUUUGGAGCACAUUCCAGUGUGACUGAAGUUUCUGUGGAAGUUUGCUGAGGUGGAGAAUACCCGGGAUGCCAUGAUGUCCGUUCACGGCCCAUGUUUGCUGACAGCUCCAGCGCUGACCUCCAAUCAGCACCUGAAGACAGGGAGCCCUCCCAACUAAUGGUGCCUGCCAGCAUGCUGAGAUCAAGACCACACCAACACAUUUGUGUGCUGUGAGAGCCAGAGUCCUGAAGACUGAGAGGCCGCCUGCCUUCCCCCCUUUUGGAGCACAUUCCAGUGUGACUGAAGUUUCUGUGGAAGUUUGCUGAGGUGGAGAAUACCCGGGAUGCCAUGAUGUCCGUUCACGGCCCAUGUUUGCUGACAGCUCCAGCGCUGACCUCCAAUCAGCACCUGAAGACAGGGAGCCCUCCCAACUAAUGGUGCCAGCCAGCAUGCUGAGAUCAAGACCACACCAACACAUUUGUGUGCUGUGAGAGCCAGAGUCCUGAAGACUGAGAGGCCGCCUGCCUUCCCCCCUUUUGGAGCACAUUCCAGUGUGACUGAAGUUUCUGUGGAAGUUUGCUGAGGUGGAGAAUACCCGGGAUGCCAUGAUGUCCGUUCACAGCCCAUGGAUGCUGACAGCUCCAGCUUUGACCUCCUAUCAGCACCUGAAGACAGGGAGCCCUCCCAACUUAUGGUGCCUGCCAGCAUGCUGAGAUCAAGACCACACCAACACAUUUGUGUGCUGUGAGAGCCAGAGUCCUGAAGACUGAGAGGCCGCCUGCCUUCCCCCCUUUUGGAGCACAUUCCAGUGUGACUGAAGUUUCUGUGGAAGUUUGCUGAGGUGGAGAAUACCCGGGAUGCCAUGAUGUCCGUUCACAGCCCAUGGAUGCUGACAGCUCCAGCUUUGACCUCCUAUCAGCACCUGAAGACAGGGAGCCCUCCCAACUGAUGGUGCCUGCCAGCAUGCUGAGAUCAAGACCGCACCAACACAUUUGUGUGCUGUGAGAGCCAGAGUCCUGAAGACUGAGAGGCCGCCUGCCUUCCCCCCUUUUGGAGCACAUUCCAGCAUGACUGAAGUUUCUGUGGAAGUUAGCUGAGGUGGAGAAUACCCGGGAUGCCAUGAUGUCCGUUCACAGCCCAUGGUUGCUGACAGCUCCAGCGUUGACCUCCAAUCAGCACCUGAAGACAGGGAGCCCUCCCAACUGAUGGUGCCAGCCAGCAUGCUGAGAUCAAGACCACACCAACACAUUUGUGUGCUGUGAGAGCCAGAGUUCUGAAGACUGAGAGGCCGCCUGCCUUCCCCCCUUUUGGAGCACAUUCCAGAGGAUUGUCUGAAGUUUCUUGGAAAGUUUGCUGUGAUGGAGGUUUCCAGAGAUGACGUGGUGUCCGGCUGUAUUUUGUUGUGGCUGACUGCUAAGGACCUGAUGUCCCAUGAAAUCUGAGUGACUUAGUGAUAUUCUCUGAGACUGCACUGGUUUUUGCAACUUUUCUCUGAUGUUACUAUGCCACCCUGAGGAUACCCAUUUCAUACCCACUUUGGUCAGAUGUUGGUAAGAUCUCAUAUUAUCAUUAUCUCUUCACUUGUAAGUAGCAAGUAUAACAU